This is a non-coding RNA of Pelobates cultripes (western spadefoot toad), 223 nucleotides long. The record is from the annotation of a GenBank genome assembly. Lineage: Eukaryota; Metazoa; Chordata; Amphibia; Anura; Pelobatidae.
UGAGAUUCAAGGACAAGCGAUUUGAUUACCCUGACACCCUGACAAUUCCUGAUAUCAGACUGUCUUUUGAGAGACCCGCUUCGUCAAGCUCAACCAAGAUGGUGACUGUAGCGCGGUUUGAGGAGGAGCCCUCAGAGGGAUCAUACAGAGGCAAACUAACUAACAAGAAGCUUACCUCUCCUUGAGCGGCACUUUUUUUUUCAGGACUCAGACUACGACAAAG